AGAGUUCGAUUCUGGCUCAGGAUGAACGCUGGCGGCGUGCCUAACACAUGCAAGUCGAGCGAAGUUUUAGAAAAGCUUGCUUUUCGAAGAACUUAGCGGCGGACGGGUGAGGAACACGUGGGUAAUCUGCCCUGUACAACGGGAUAACAGCGAGAAAUUGUUGCUAAUACCGUAUAAACUCGUAAGAUGGCAUCAUCAAUCGAGAAAAGAUUUAUCGGUACAGGAGGGGCCCGCGGCUGAUUAGCUAGUUGGAGAGGUAACGGCUCACCAAGGCAACGAUCAGUAGCCGACCUGAGAGGGUGAUCGGCCACAUUGGAACUGAGACACGGUCCAA
This 334-nucleotide ribosomal RNA is filed under the name uncultured bacterium. RNAcentral's name for it is "bacterial SSU rRNA". It matches the Rfam family "Bacterial small subunit ribosomal RNA", at positions 8 to 334 of the family's 1533-position model. The record is from RNAcentral.